UAGAGGUGGUGGGGACAGGAACGGAGCCAAGGCAGCAGAGGUGGGAGGCGGGAGGGAAACCAGCU
This 65-nucleotide small RNA is filed under the name Myotis lucifugus (little brown bat). RNAcentral's name for it is "GRIK4 3 prime UTR element (ENSMLUG00000028458.1)". Lineage: Eukaryota; Metazoa; Chordata; Mammalia; Chiroptera; Vespertilionidae. The record is from RNAcentral.